GUGAGUCGACCCCUAAGGCGAGGCCGAAAGGCGUAGUCGAUGGGAAACAGGUUAAUAUUCCUGUACUUGGUGUUACUGCGAAGGGGGGACGGAGAAGGCUAUGUUAGCCGGGCGACGGUUGUCCCGGUUUAAGCAUGUAGGCUGGUUAUCCAGGCAAAUCCGGAUAAUCAAGGCUGAGGUGUGAUGACGAAGCACUACGGUGCUGAAGUAACAAAUGCCCUGCUUCCAGGAAAAGCCUCUAAGCAUCAGGUAACAUCAAAUCGUACCCCAAACCGACACAGGUGGUCAGGUAGAGAAUACCAAGGCGCUUGAGAGAACUCGGGUGAAGGAACUAG
Molecule: ribosomal RNA, 335 nt
Filed under: Klebsiella quasipneumoniae subsp. similipneumoniae
Lineage: Bacteria; Pseudomonadati; Pseudomonadota; Gammaproteobacteria; Enterobacterales; Enterobacteriaceae
Description: partial 23S ribosomal RNA
Rfam family: Bacterial large subunit ribosomal RNA
Source: RNAcentral